UUGACAUCGCGUGAGUUGGACACUGCUUACAUGCGUUCAAAUCUUGCUCGUUGGACAGAAGAUUUCUUGGAAAUUCAGUUGCGACGAUGAACCACAAACGUUCGAAGAAUUAAAUACCAGCUGAGCACUGGGGCAAUGUAAUCGACUUAGCCUCUUCUCCGGAAUUUUUGCGACGUUCUAACGAUUCUGCAGCGUGAUGAGGAGCGACACCUGUCAUUGGUCAUUCCCAGCUGAAGGAGGAACAGCGUUUGGUCGGUUCUAGCUUGAGAGAAUCUUUUGGAAUCGGUGUCAUCAUACUUUGGCAGGGAAUUAUGAACACACGGGUUUCCCUGAAACGUUCUU
This is a long non-coding RNA of Octopus bimaculoides (California two-spot octopus), 342 nucleotides long. The record is from RefSeq and is a predicted model, not a curated record. NCBI's taxonomy places the organism in Eukaryota, Metazoa, Mollusca, Cephalopoda, Octopoda, Octopodidae.